UUUUUUUUAAGCACAAUAUUAACUAAAUAUCUUUAUUAUAUAAAUUAUAUGUUUUACUGUUUGAAUACAUAGUGAAAAUUCCCAUUCAUCUGCAUCUUUAGCACAGAUUUUAGAAGCUACAGUAAUUAGAAUAUGUUCACGGAACAGUUUCUGUGUAGAUUAAGCUGAGAACCUGGAACCACGAUGACAACAGAGAAACUGAGUACUCCUAACAAUUCUUGAUGAUAAUUUCCUUCACUUGUAGGCUGCAUCUUGAAGAUUAAGCAGAACUAAAUGGCUGAUAUCGAAUGGGUAAGCAUCGGAUGGUUCCAAAGCACUAUAAGAUCUUUCCCCGAUGAAUUUGUUGACAGCUUCUGUUGGAUGGUAAGAAUCCCAGAACGCAAACUCUGUCCUGUUCUUGCAUGGAAUUUGAUUUGCAAUACACUCACCAUCAAUUGCAACAGGGCAACACCCAGAACUUGAAUCCUUAAAAUUAAGAACAGAGGAAUCUGCACCAAUUGCAUAGUAGUUUAUGUAUAUGAAUUUCGCAUCUGUUAGAUUAGCAUUCAGCUCCUCAACAACUGAUUUCAGCUUCUUGUUGAAAAGCUGGGAUGCUUCCUCCAUAAUUUCCACGCAAGUAGAACCAUUUGUGCCAUAUUUUUCAAUUGAACCUGGUGUGCAACCUAUUUGCCCCACCCCAAACAAGGCAAUUUUUCGUGCUCCAUAAUCGUACAGGGUCUAAAAAUCCAUUCAAAAGAAAUUCCAUUACAUUACAAAUUAAAAGAAGGCCAAAAUCACUUACCAACCUUUAGUUGCUGGGUGUAUUGUUGAAUAAGAAGUUGAGUAAACUGUUGCAGGGUAUAUUCUUUGCUUGUAUUAUAAUACUCGGGCAAGAAGUAGUUGUUAAGGUAAUCAUUGUUGCCCAUUCCAACAGAAUAUAAGCACCGGCUCAGAUACCAUUCAGUUGCCCACGUUGUUCCCAGUAUGUCAACCAAAUCCAAGAUAGUGGUUUGGUGAUGUUCUAACUGCAUAUCAAGGGGUACACGCUCACCCAACUGCUGCCCUGUUUCAUUCCGAAUUCCUGCGGAUCCUGACGCAUAAUUCACCCCAAAGAGUAUGUCAGUGCCAGAGGCAGUUGCGAAAGGUGGAAUAAAAUUUUGGAAACCCAACAGUUCAGCAAUUACAUCGACGGUGGUCCGACCAUUGGUGAACCUUCCAGUGGGGCCAAAAGGGAAAUCAAUCCCAUAAGGUGCAUAAUUGACUUUAGCAAGGGUAUCAAGGAAAUUAUUAUUGCCAUUAUCGGCCAACGAGUCUCCAAAAAUGAAAUAGCAAGGUAACUGUUGAUAACCUUCUGCAAUCUGUUGCAAAUCCACCAUGAACAAAGCAGCUAUCACCCACCACCAUGACUUCCCCAUUGGGCAAACCUAGCUAGCUAGAAGAAACAGAUGACUAAAUGAGUUUACGAGUACUGGAGAGGUUUUGGUGGGUUGUUUCAGUGAUGAAUCAAGAGAUGUGGUGGUAGAUGGAAGUACAUACUAUUGAUGACUAGCAAGAGAAAGUGGCGAUUGAGG
This 1550-nucleotide unclassified non-coding RNA is filed under the name Hevea brasiliensis (rubber tree). The record is from RNAcentral. Lineage: Eukaryota; Viridiplantae; Streptophyta; Magnoliopsida; Malpighiales; Euphorbiaceae.